GCUGGGCACGGUGGCGCGUGCCUGUAGUCCCAGCUUCUCGGGAGGCUGAGGCAGGAGAAUUGCCUGAACCCAGGAGGCGGAGGUUGCGGUGAGCCGAGAUCGCGCCACUGCACUCCAGCCUGGGCAACAGAGCAAGACUCUGUCUCAA
Unclassified non-coding RNA from Callithrix jacchus (white-tufted-ear marmoset), 148 nucleotides. It matches the Rfam family "Metazoan signal recognition particle RNA". Rfam says of the family: The signal recognition particle (SRP) is a universally conserved ribonucleoprotein. It is involved in the co-translational targeting of proteins to membranes. NCBI's taxonomy places the organism in Eukaryota, Metazoa, Chordata, Mammalia, Primates, Cebidae. The record is from Ensembl.